RNAcentral lists this ribosomal RNA (376 nucleotides) under Klebsiella michiganensis. RNAcentral describes it as "partial 23S ribosomal RNA". It matches the Rfam family "Bacterial large subunit ribosomal RNA", at positions 2263 to 2638 of the family's 2925-position model. Lineage: Bacteria; Pseudomonadati; Pseudomonadota; Gammaproteobacteria; Enterobacterales; Enterobacteriaceae. The record is from RNAcentral.
GGGUAGUUUGACUGGGGCGGUCUCCUCCUAAAGAGUAACGGAGGAGCACGAAGGUCAGCUAAUCCUGGUCGGACAUCAGGAGGUUAGUGCAAUGGCAUAAGCUGGCUUGACUGCGAGCGUGACGGCGCGAGCAGGUGCGAAAGCAGGUCAUAGUGAUCCGGUGGUUCUGAAUGGAAGGGCCAUCGCUCAACGGAUAAAAGGUACUCCGGGGAUAACAGGCUGAUACCGCCCAAGAGUUCAUAUCGACGGCGGUGUUUGGCACCUCGAUGUCGGCUCAUCACAUCCUGGGGCUGAAGUAGGUCCCAAGGGUAUGGCUGUUCGCCAUUUAAAGUGGUACGCGAGCUGGGUUUAGAACGUCGUGAGACAGUUCGGUCCC